This is a long non-coding RNA of Mus musculus (house mouse), 682 nucleotides long. RefSeq annotates it as RIKEN cDNA 1700072F12 gene. The record is from RefSeq and is a predicted model, not a curated record. The transcript is spliced from 2 exons. Lineage: Eukaryota; Metazoa; Chordata; Mammalia; Rodentia; Muridae.
CCGCGCUGCUGCUAUGGCCCAGGAGCGCUCAUCUUCUGCUGCCGUCAGAAGAUGCUGUGUGGAACCAGGGAGUGAGUCUACUGACACCAAGAACUUCCCAGCUUCUCAAGCUGCCACGGCAGCGCAGACUGGACAAGGUGCCCUCCCUGCAAGGUGGACUCUGAGCUCUCUGCGCUCUGCUGCUCUAUUCUGCUCUCCAGGCCCCACGGAGCUCUCUGCUAUACCCGUUCUUCACCGUUUCUCCGAGCUAACUUUCCCACCCUCGGAGCUAGCAUGGUCUUAGUCAUUCUUCAAAAGCCAAUUAACAGGUCGCUUCUCACUCACACCCUCCCUAAAUCUCCAUGUGUGAUCUACCAGAAUUCUUCAAAGAAGCAGAGCCCGGAAGGAACCACAGACGCCAGCCAGUCUAAAGCUAAAGGCUUGAAAAUCCGGAGACGGGUAGUGUGGAAAACAGAAGAACACAAGGCCCAGGCUAUAGUUAGACAACAUGGCACUGAUAUGGAUAGGUGGGACAAAUCAGCUAAAUUGUGACUAGCAGUGGACAAUUUGGGGCCAAGAGUCAGCACAAGUUAGCUGAUACCUAAUGUCUGGGGAAGCCCAAAGUACAGAGUGAUUUCAAAUGCUAUCUAAUUUUUUUUCAGACACAUUCGUGUCAUUCUGUAUAAACAUGGCCUUGAGGGCA